This 1447-nucleotide ribosomal RNA is filed under the name uncultured Bacillota bacterium. RNAcentral's name for it is "bacterial SSU rRNA". It matches the Rfam family "Bacterial small subunit ribosomal RNA". Lineage: Bacteria; Bacillati; Bacillota. The record is from RNAcentral.
GACGAACGCUGGCGGCGUGCUUAACACAUGCAAGUCGAACGGGGUUUAGUGAGGAGUAAUCCGAGCUUAACCUAGUGGCGGACGGGUGCGUAACGCGUGAACAAUCUGUCCUUCUGAGGGGGAUAACAUCUGGAAACAGAUGCUAAUACCGCAUAAGACCACGAGGUCGCAUGGCCUUGAGGUAAAAGGAGCAAUCCGCAGGAGGGUGAGUUCGCGUCCCAUUAGCUAGUUGGUGAGGUAAAGGCCCACCAAGGCGACGAUGGGUAGCCGAUCUGAGAGGAUGACCGGCCACACUGGAACUGAGAAACGGUCCAGACUCCUACGGGAGGCAGCAGUGGGGAAUAUUGGGCAAUGGGCGAAAGCCUGACCCAGCAACGCCGCGUGAGGGAAGAAGGCUUUCGGGUCGUAAACCUCUGUCGCAGGGGACGAGAAGAAGACGGUACCCUGUGAGGAAGCCCCGGCUAACUACGUGCCAGCAGCCGCGGUAAUACGUAGGGGGCGAGCGUUGUCCGGAAUGACUGGGCGUAAAGGGCGCGUAGGCGGUUUAAUAAGUUAGGAGUGAAAGUCCUGCUUUCAAGGUGGGAAUUGCUUUUAAUACUGUUGAACUUGAGUGUGGGAGAGGAUAGCGGAAUUCCCGGUGUAGCGGUGAAAUGCGUAGAGAUCGGGAGGAACACCAGUGGCGAAGGCGGCUAUCUGGACCAAGACUGACGCUGAGGCGCGAAAGCGUGGGUAGCAAACAGGAUUAGAUACCCUGGUAGUCCACGCUGUAAACGAUGGAUGCUAGGUGUAGGAGGUAUCGACCCCUUCUGUGCCGGAGUAAACACAAUAAGCAUCCCGCCUGGGGAGUACGGCCGCAAGGUUGAAACUCAANGGANUUGACGGGGGCCCGCACAAGCAGCGGAGCAUGUGGUUUAAUUCGAAGCAACGCGAAGAACCUUACCAGGUCUUGACAUCGAUGUAAGCCAGAAGAGAUUCUGGGUGCCUUCGGGCAACAGAAGACAGGUGGUGCAUGGUUGUCGUCAGCUCGUGUCGUGAGAUGUUGGGUUAAGUCCCGCAACGAGCGCAACCCCUAUUGCCAGUUACCAGCGAGUGAUGUCGGGGACUCUGGCGAGACUGCCGCGGUCAACGCGGAGGAAGGUGGGGACGACGUCAAAUCAUCAUGCCCCUUAUGUCUUGGGCUACACACGUGCUACAAUGGCAGUUACAGAGGGAAGCGAAAUCGUAAGGUGGAGCGAAUCCCAGAAAGGCUGUCCCAGUUCGGAUUGUGGGCUGCAACCCGCCCACAUGAAGUCGGAGUUGCUAGUAAUCGCGAAUCAGCAUGUCGCGGUGAAUACGUUCCCGGGCCUUGUACACACCGCCCGUCACACCAUGGGAGUUGGGAGCGCCCGAAGUCAGUACCCUAACCGCAAGGAGGGGGCUGCCGAAGGCGAGCUCAAUGACUAGGGUG